GCCCUCAAUCGCUCCCACAGAAUUAGGAGAGUUAGUUACAUUUGAACCCAUCCACUCGGGGUGGACAGCUGUAGCACAUGCCCAAAAAUUGAUCAGUUGAGGCUAUGGAAGGCUGGCCGAGGCAAAUAGUCCGUGCAAUAGAUCAGAGGUAAAUAGCUCAACUCUAUGUACCUCAGUUCUACACUUGGAUAGGUGAUUGC
RNAcentral lists this long non-coding RNA (200 nucleotides) under Elaeis guineensis (African oil palm). RNAcentral's name for it is "long non-coding RNA (EGUI_LNC068321)". Lineage: Eukaryota; Viridiplantae; Streptophyta; Magnoliopsida; Arecales; Arecaceae. The record is from RNAcentral.